This 495-nucleotide ribosomal RNA is filed under the name uncultured bacterium. Its description in RNAcentral is "partial 16S ribosomal RNA". It matches the Rfam family "Bacterial small subunit ribosomal RNA", at positions 28 to 507 of the family's 1533-position model. The record is from RNAcentral.
GACGAACGCUGGCGGCGUGCCUAAUACAUGCAAGUAGAACGCUGAAGGAGGAGCUUGCUCUUCUGGAUGAGUUGCGAACGGGUGAGUAACGCGUAGGUAACCUGCCUGGUAGCGGGGGAUAACUAUUGGAAACGAUAGCUAAUACCGCAUAACAGUAGAUGUUGCAUGACAUUUACUUAAAAGGUGCAAUUGCAUCACUACCAGAUGGACCUGCGUUGUAUUAGCUAGUUGGUGGUGUAACGGCUCACCAAGGCGACGAUACAUAGCCGACCUGAGAGGGUGAUCGGCCAAAAUGGGAAUGAGACAAGGCCAAGAAGCCUAAGGGAGGCAGCAGUAGGGAAUCUUCGGAAAUGGACGGAAGUCUGACCGAGCAACGCCGCGGGAGUGAAGAAGGUUUUCGGAUCGUAAAGCUCUGUUGUAAGAGAAGAAAGAGUGUGAGAGUGGAAAGUUCACACUGUGACGGUAUCUUACCAGAAAGGGACGGCUAACUACGUG